AAUGUUACCAUUGCGCCCUUUUCUAUUCUUAAUUUUGAGAUUUUCGCUCAAUUAAUUUCGAAACUCGAACCACGUUGAAACCCUAACUCGCUCUAAUUGCCUCGAAGAAAAUCCAUCACUGCAGGUAUCCGGAUUCUCCUCUCUGAUUACUGAGAUCGUUGUUUCAAUGACGUCGAUAACAGCAGAGAAAGCUAUAAUCACGUUGCGUGGAUCUGCGGCCAUCGUCAGCGAGUUCUUAUGUUAUGCUUGGAACAGGUGAGAAUCGAUGGAUCGUGGGAUUCCCAUUAAUUUUCGCGACUUUUUUCAGCUUAGGGUUUUGAGUUUAUCCAGAAGAGAGCUUCGUCAAAGUGAAGAAAUAUGGAUUGCCAGUGUUGCCUAUCCAAGACGAAGCCGUUAAGUCCUUCCUUCCUCUUCAACCUGACUUCUCAGAUUUCCGGAUUAGCAAAACUAGUGAGAGAUUGUGUCUUGGGUCUUGCUGCACAUGAUUAUGUCGGAACUUAGGCGUCUGAUUCGAAAAACAUCAUGUGUGUAAAGAAUGGCUUGUGGCGGGAAAGUUGUACUUGUGAUAAUGAGCAAAGCGACCUCCGAGGUCUUAGAGAGAUGGAACUUCCGCAUUGAAACCGAUAACGAGGUUGUUCAAAAAGGAAUCGAGAGGAGAAUACUCGAUAUUCAUCUGGUCCUCCUCUCUGAUAAACCCUUCAAUCCGUUCUAACGACACUUUGGAUUGAGCCACCAGUG
Long non-coding RNA from Tarenaya hassleriana, 738 nucleotides. RefSeq lists it as uncharacterized. The record is from RefSeq and is a predicted model, not a curated record. The transcript is spliced from 4 exons. NCBI's taxonomy places the organism in Eukaryota, Viridiplantae, Streptophyta, Magnoliopsida, Brassicales, Cleomaceae.